CCCUGCUUGCCGUAAAUCCCGCUCGCUUCAUCCUCUUUAGACRUGCACUGUGUUGGUGAAGUAAAUUUUGUUCUUGGCUUUCCUUUAAGGACAGAAUCUGUGUGGUUGCCGUGGCCCUGAGCUUACUACUGAUGAACUUGGAAGCAAAGAAAGGUGCUGUACAAAGAGUGGGGUGUUUAAAGGUCGCUUCUUCAGUGGCUUCACUCUGGAGCUACAUGUUAAAUGGCCUCAGC
Nothoprocta perdicaria is the source of this 233-nucleotide long non-coding RNA. RefSeq lists it as uncharacterized. The transcript has 3 exons. The record is from RefSeq and is a predicted model, not a curated record. NCBI's taxonomy places the organism in Eukaryota, Metazoa, Chordata, Aves, Tinamiformes, Tinamidae.